AUUGAACGCUGGCGGCAUGCCUUACACAUGCAAGUCGAACGGCAGCACGGGAGCAAUCCUGGUGGCGAGUGGCGAACGGGUGAGUAAAGUAUCGGAACGUGCCCAGUCGUGGGGGAUAACGUAGCGAAAGUUACGCUAAUACCGCAUACGAUCUAUGGAUGAAAGCGGGGGAGCGCCAGACCUUGCGCGAUUGGAGCGGCCGAUAUCCGAUUAGGUAGGUGGGGGGGUAAAGGCGCACCAAGCCGACGAUCUGUAGCGGGUCUGAGAGGACGAGCAGCAACACUGGGACUGAGACACGGCCCAGACUCCUACGGGAGGCAGCAGUGGGUAAUUUUGGACAAUGGGCGAAAGCCUGAUCCAGCCAUGCCGCGUGCAGGAUGAAGGCCUUCGGGUUGUAAACUGCUUUUGUACGGAACGAAAAGGUUUGGCCUAAUAAGCUGAGCUCAUGACGGUACCGUAAGAAUAAGCACCGGCUAACUACGUGCCAGCAGCCGCCGUAA
Molecule: ribosomal RNA, 500 nt
Filed under: uncultured bacterium
Lineage: Bacteria
Description: partial 16S ribosomal RNA
Rfam family: Bacterial small subunit ribosomal RNA
Source: RNAcentral